UACGAAGGGGGCUAGCGUUGCUCGGAAUGACUGGGCGUAAAGGGCGCGUAGGCGGUUUGUACAGUCAGAUGUGAAAUUCCUGGGCUCAACCUGGGGGCUGCAUUUGAUACGUGCGGACUUGAGUGAGGAAGAGGGUCGUGGAAUUCCCAGUGUAGAGGUGAAAUUCGUAGAUGUUGGGAAGAGCACCGGUGGCGAAGGCGGCGACCUGGUCCUUGACUGACGCUGAGGCGCGAAAGCGUGGGGAGCAAACAGG
This 253-nucleotide ribosomal RNA is filed under the name uncultured bacterium. Its description in RNAcentral is "partial 16S ribosomal RNA". It matches the Rfam family "Bacterial small subunit ribosomal RNA", at positions 524 to 776 of the family's 1533-position model. The record is from RNAcentral.